GACGAACGCUGGCGGCGUGCUUAACACAUGCAAGUCGAACGGAAAGGCCCUGCUUUUGUGGGGUGCUCGAGUGGCGAACGGGUGUGUAACACGUGUGUAACCUGCCCUUGACUUUGGGAUAACUUCGGGAAACUGGGGCUAAUACCGGAUAGGAGCUCCUGCUGCAUGGGGGGGGGUGGAGAGUUUGGGGGGUUGGGGAUGGACUCGCGGCUUAUCAGCUUGUUGGUGGGGUAGUGGCUUACCAAGGCUUUGAGGGGUAGCCGGCCUGAGAGGGUGACCGGCCACAUUGGGACUGAGAUACGGCCCAGACUCCUACGGGAGGCAGCAGUGGGGAAUAUUGCCCAAGGGGCGGAAGCCUGAUGCAGCAACGCCGCGUGCGGGAUGACGGCCUUCGGGUUGUAAACCGCUUUCGCCUGGGCCGAAGUGUGAGUGACGGUAAUGGGUAAAGAAGCACCGGCUAACUACGUG
RNAcentral lists this ribosomal RNA (468 nucleotides) under uncultured bacterium. RNAcentral's name for it is "partial 16S ribosomal RNA". It matches the Rfam family "Bacterial small subunit ribosomal RNA", at positions 28 to 507 of the family's 1533-position model. The record is from RNAcentral.